Molecule: long non-coding RNA, 1021 nt
Filed under: Marmota monax (woodchuck)
Lineage: Eukaryota; Metazoa; Chordata; Mammalia; Rodentia; Sciuridae
Source: RNAcentral
UUAGAGGUUCUACUACCUCCCAAUAGUGCCACAGGAUGGUGACCAAGGACUUGUGGGGGGAGUCUAUUUCUAAACUACAGCAUAUGGUUCAAUACCAUUUACCUCUAUCCCACUCCCCUACGCUACGCAUAUCACCUUCAUCCUGAUGGUACAAUUAUAACAAUAGUUGUCCAGUAUUUCUAUUAUUAAACUACCACAGUAUUGCUGACCUUACAGCCAAGCAAUUAUGAGUCACGACGAUGUUUCUUUUACUAAACAAAUUCUUGUUUUUUUCUGCUGGUUACCACAGACUUUCUGCGGGGCUGUUUCAUUGCCUACCUUUAAAAAAUGGCUUCAUUUUCUAUAUAUUUGUCUUUAAUUUUUUCCCACAGGCUUUAUUAGAUCUGUUAAAUUCCUUUAAAUGUUCUUUUCUAAAGGUUCAAACAUUUUCAAUUCUAUUUUUUUCCCCCUUGGGUGAGGGGUAGGUGCACAGUCCACCAGCCUUCAUAAUAAAUGGAGUUGACAUCAUUGCAUUCUAAAGAUUAAAGUCAUAACUAAGAGCUAAAAAUGGAACGUUUAACUCCCAAGGAUCCCCUUGAAGAUUUUACUCCCUUUGGCAAAUAUUGUGACCACUUUUGGGAGGUGUGGGAUGUGGGCUGGGAUAGAUCCUGGGGCCUUGUGUAUGCUAAGCAUGCGCUCUACCACUGAGUUACACCCUCCCUAUGAGCACUUCAUAGAUCUGAAUACUCGACUAGACAAACACUAUGACCUCUUUCAAGUGCGUAUAAUCAUCAUCCAUUUCAAACACACCAUUUUCCAUUUGCUAACUUUUAGUUAUAAGGUGUGUCUUCUCCUUGUCUGCCAAGUAUUACAGGGAUUUUUCUUUCCUUGAUCAUCUCAAGGCCCAACUGGUCACAAGUAAAUUUUUGGAUGUAUCUGUCCAAACAAACACACAAAAAAAUUAGUACAUUGAUAAAGGAAUUAGUAUGUAAUGGGAUCCUAUAUUGCCGGUUAACAGUUUUAUAAAUAUAAUGCUUCUAUU